CAGCGUUUGCACCGUAUGGAAACCCUCACAACAACAAUGGAGGACUUCAUUGGAGUGGUGUUCAUGGCUUUGCUAGUGUGCCUUGCCAUCGCUGAACAGCAAAACCUUCUGUUAGGGGUUAACCAUCGGCGUCGCCGUUCCAAUGCCCGGCGAUCACGUUUGAGAAGAAAGGUUUCCCAGAGACUAUGGGUUGAGGAGGAAUUGGAAGUUUGUCGGCUUAGACCUGGUGUCAUUCCAUCAGUGUUAAACUUCCCGGCUCAUCUUGGAAGAGUACGUGCCAGAAAGACCACGACCAAGCAGCCUUGAGAUCUUAGGCAGCGUCUCCCUGAGGUCCCUCUCUAUCUCCCCACACAUCCACCAACCACUGGAACACAUCUCCAAAGUUCUGCAGGGCCAGCUCAGCUUCCCCUCAGAAGAAGUGCCACCACCUGCCAGAUGAAGGAGCCUUUUGAGAGGCAGCUGGCAUCGUGAUUGGACUGUACUUUGGUCUGUUCCAAUCCAGCUUCAGCUCCAGAGACGGCAGGCGGGACGAGUCAACGGAGGCCGAGUGGAUGAAGGCAUGCAGCUGAGUACAAUCCAGAAAAGAACAGAGGAGGAGUGCAGUGGCCCAGGGCCAGAACAAACAGAGUAGCAUCGUAUGUCUCUUAGAAAACAUCAUAGUAUAGCCUUUGGUAUGAAAAAACGCCAUCAUAUACAUCGUAUAUUGUACAAAUAACAAGUCAAAGGAAAGAGACAUACAUUGUAGAAUUGUAGUAAUUGUGGGCUGACUGGCCUUGGCAAUGGUCGUCGGAAUGUGAAUAACACUGACCACACCUCACAGAGGUUAUAAGCUGAGGCAACAUCAUCCACCACCAGAACUGAAGAAACCUCUUGGAUGAGAGGUGCAACAUCUUCAAGGAACCUUCUUAAAGUCCAGUUGGAUUGAUUUAAACAACUUUGGAUGACUGAUUUACUGAUUAUCAGUAUUUUAUUUUUUACUGAUUGACGGUAAUAAAUACAUUUAAAAAUGGUGCUACUUUGGCUCUGAACCUUUAUCUACCUGUGGUCGCUCUGUCUUCUGGAGUGAUUUGAUUGGUUAUACGUCACGAAUAAAACUCCUUUAACUUAACAACUGUAAACAAAACAAAAACGUAUCAACAAAUUUUUCUGUUAGAGUUUGUGUUCUUCUAAGUUUAACUCCAAGAUUUUAAAUACUUUCAUUUACUG
Long non-coding RNA from Amphiprion ocellaris (clown anemonefish), 1206 nucleotides. Lineage: Eukaryota; Metazoa; Chordata; Actinopteri; Pomacentridae. The record is from Ensembl.